AGCAGUAGCCGCGGGAAUACGUAGGUGGCAAGCGUUGUCCGGAAUUAUUGGGCGUAAAGGGCUCGCGGGCGGUUUCUUAAGUCUGAUGUGAAAGCCCCCGGCUCAACCGGGGAGGGUCAUUGGAAACUGGGAAACUUGAGUGCAGAAGAGGAGAGUGGAAUUCCACGUGUAGCGGUGAAAUGCGUAGAGAUGUGGAGGAACGCCGGUGGCGAAGGCGACUCUCUGGUCUGUAACUGACGCUGAGGAGCGGAAGCGUGGGGAGCGAACAGGAUUAGAUACCCCUGUAGUCCCUGUCUCUUAUAC
This 303-nucleotide ribosomal RNA is filed under the name uncultured bacterium. RNAcentral describes it as "partial 16S ribosomal RNA". It matches the Rfam family "Bacterial small subunit ribosomal RNA", at positions 507 to 807 of the family's 1533-position model. The record is from RNAcentral.